UACGUAGGGUGCAAGCGUUGUCCGGAAUUAUUGGGCGUAAAGGGCGCGUAGGCUGUGCUGUAAGUCAGGCGUGAAAGCCCCGGGCUCAACCUGGGAAUUGCGCUUGAUACUGCGGCGCUGGAAGGUGGGAGAGGAUGGCGGAAUUCCCAGUGUAGAGGUGAAAUUCGUAGAUAUUGGGAAGAACACCGGUGGCGAAGGCGGCCAUCUGGCCCACAAUUGACGCUGAGGCGCGAAAGCGUGGGGAGCAAACAGG
This 253-nucleotide ribosomal RNA is filed under the name uncultured bacterium. RNAcentral's name for it is "partial 16S ribosomal RNA". It matches the Rfam family "Bacterial small subunit ribosomal RNA", at positions 524 to 776 of the family's 1533-position model. The record is from RNAcentral.